Molecule: long non-coding RNA, 250 nt
Filed under: Elaeis guineensis (African oil palm)
Lineage: Eukaryota; Viridiplantae; Streptophyta; Magnoliopsida; Arecales; Arecaceae
Description: long non-coding RNA (EGUI_LNC046835)
Source: RNAcentral
AGACUUGACCAGUUAAUCUUAAUCCUCCCACUGACUUCACUAAGUCAGAUUAAAGAAGAUUAGGCAUAACUGGUCUAGUCAAGCAAUCAUAAAUCCUUCCACUGACUUCACCAAGUCAUGAAGAGGACUCAAGAUAAGUUGAACUAGGGGUAUCUAAAUCAAUCAUACUGAUUUUCUAGUUAGCAUGGGUCAACCUCAAUUAUUAAGUGAUCUAAUCAAAAUAUAAUUCACUAUAUUGAUCAGAUAAGUG